Small nuclear RNA from Sorex fumeus (smoky shrew), 102 nucleotides. NCBI's taxonomy places the organism in Eukaryota, Metazoa, Chordata, Mammalia, Eulipotyphla, Soricidae. The record is from RefSeq and is a predicted model, not a curated record.
GUGAUCGCUUCAGCAGCACACAUAUAAAAUUGAAACGAUACAGAGAAGAUUAGCAUGGCCCCUGAGCAAGGAUGACACAUUCAUGAAGCGUUCCAAAUUUAA